RNAcentral lists this ribosomal RNA (640 nucleotides) under uncultured bacterium. RNAcentral's name for it is "bacterial SSU rRNA". It matches the Rfam family "Bacterial small subunit ribosomal RNA", at positions 232 to 881 of the family's 1533-position model. The record is from RNAcentral.
CGCGGCCUAUCAGCUUGUUGGUGAGGUAACGGCUCACCAAGGCAGUGACGGGUAGCUGGUCUGAGAGGACGAUCACCCACACUGGGACUGAGACACGGCCCAGACUCCUACGGGGGGCAGCAGCAGGGAAUAUUGCCCAAUGGGCGAAAGCCUGACGCAACGGCCCCCCGUGAGGGAUGAAGGCCUUCGGGUUGUAAACCUCUUUCAGGAUGGAAGAAGCGAAAGUGACUGUACCUCCACAAGAAGGCCCGGCCAACUACGUGCCAGCAGCCGCGGUAAUACGUAGGGGCCAAGCGUUGUCCGGAUUCAUCGGGCGUAGAGAGCUCGUAGGCGGCUCAGCAAGUCGGUCGUGAAAGCCCGGGGCUCAACCCCGGGACGCCGGUCGAAACUGCUGUGGCUAGGGUUCGGUAGAGGAGAGUGGAAUUCUCGGUGUAGCGGUGAAAUGCGCAGAUAUCAGGAGGAACACCGACGGCGAAGGCAGCACUCUGGGCCGGUACUGACGCUCAGGAGCGAAAGCGUGGGUAGCAAACAGGAUUAGAUACCCUGGUAGUCCACGCCGUAAACGUUGGGCACUACGUGUGGGGCCUUAUCAACGGGUUCCGUGCCGUAGCUAACGCAUUAAGUGCCCCGCCUGGCGAGU